ACUCCUACGGGAGGCAGCAGUAAGGAAUCUUCCACAAUGGGCGCAAGCCUGAUGGAGCAACACCGCGUGAGUGAAGAAGGGUUUCGGCUCGUAAAGCUCUGUUGUUAAAGAAGAACACGUAUGAGAGUAACUGUUCAUACGUUGACGGUAUUUAACCAGAAAGUCACGGCUAACUACGUGCCAGCAGCCGCGGUAAUACGUAGGUGGCAAGCGUUAUCCGGAUUUAUUGGGCGUAAAGAGAGUGCAGGCGGUUUUCUAAGUCUGAUGUGAAAGCCUUCGGCUUAACCGGAGAAGUGCAUCGGAAACUGGAUAACUUGAGUGCAGAAGAGGGUAGUGGAACUCCAUGUGUAGCGGUGGAAUGCGUAGAUAUAUGGAAGAACACCAGUGGCGAAGGCGGCUACCUGGUCUGCAACUGACGCUGAGACUCGAAAGCAUGGGUAGCGAACAGGAUUAGAUACCCUGGUAGGAUAGCG
This 473-nucleotide ribosomal RNA is filed under the name uncultured bacterium. RNAcentral describes it as "bacterial SSU rRNA". It matches the Rfam family "Bacterial small subunit ribosomal RNA", at positions 335 to 801 of the family's 1533-position model. The record is from RNAcentral.